This 253-nucleotide ribosomal RNA is filed under the name uncultured bacterium. RNAcentral describes it as "partial 16S ribosomal RNA". It matches the Rfam family "Bacterial small subunit ribosomal RNA", at positions 524 to 776 of the family's 1533-position model. The record is from RNAcentral.
UACAGAGGGUGCAAGCGUUAAUCGGAAUUACUGGGCGUAAAGCGUGCGCAGACGGUUACAUAAGUCGGGUGUGAAAGCCCCGGGCUCAACCUGGGAAUUGCAUUCGAGACUGCGUAGCUAGGGUGCGGAAGAGGGAAGCGGAAUUUCCGGUGUAGCGGUGAAAUGCGUAGAUAUCGGAAGGAACACCAGUGGCGAAAGCGGCUUCCUGGUCCAGCACCGACGUUCAGGCACGAAAGCGUGGGGAGCAAACAGG